Molecule: ribosomal RNA, 508 nt
Filed under: uncultured fungus
Lineage: Eukaryota; Fungi
Description: SSU rRNA
Rfam family: Eukaryotic small subunit ribosomal RNA
Source: RNAcentral
AGCAGCCGCGGUAAUUCCAGCUCCAAUAGCGUAUAUUAAAGUUGUUGCAGUUAAAAAGCUCGUAGUUGAAUUUCGGGAUCAGCAGGUUGGUCGUGCCUCUGGUAUGCACUGGUUUCGCUGAUUCCUCCUUUCUGAAGAACUGUAAUGUCAUUAAUUUGGUGUUGCAGGGAAACAGGACUGUUACUUUGAAAAAAUUAGAGUGUUUAAAGCAAGCUAACGCUUGAAUACAUUAGCAUGGAAUAAUGAAAUAGGACGUUUGAUCCUAUUUUGUUGGUUUCUAGGAUUGACGUAAUGAUUAAUAGGGAUAGUUGGGGGCAUUAGUAUUCAAUUGUCAGAGGUGAAAUUCUUGGAUUUAUUGAAGACUAACUACUGCGAAAGCAUUUGCCAAGGAUGUUUUCAUUAAUCAAGAACGAAAGUUAGGGGAUCGAAGACGAUCAGAUACCGUCGUAGUCUUAACCAUAAACUAUGCCGACUAGGGAUCGGAUGAUGUUAAUUUUUUAANGACUCA